This 82-nucleotide transfer RNA is filed under the name Prevotellaceae bacterium. RNAcentral's name for it is "tRNA-Leu". It matches the Rfam family "tRNA". From Rfam's summary of the family: Transfer RNA (tRNA) molecules are approximately 80 nucleotides in length. Their secondary structure includes four short double-helical elements and three loops (D, anti-codon, and T loops). The record is from RNAcentral. Lineage: Bacteria; Pseudomonadati; Bacteroidota; Bacteroidia; Bacteroidales; Prevotellaceae.
GCGGGUAUGGCGUAAUUGGUAGCCGCGUCAGAUUUAGGAUCUGGUGCCUUAGGGCGUGUGGGUUCGAGUCCCUCUAUCCGCA